RNAcentral lists this ribosomal RNA (600 nucleotides) under uncultured bacterium. RNAcentral describes it as "bacterial SSU rRNA". It matches the Rfam family "Bacterial small subunit ribosomal RNA", at positions 731 to 1336 of the family's 1533-position model. The record is from RNAcentral.
AGGCCUUUACUGACGCUAAAGCUCGAAGGUGCGGGUAUCGAACAGGAUUAGAUACCCUGGUAGUCCGCACGGUAAACGAUGGAUGCCCGCUGUUUGCGAUAUACUGUGAGCGGCCAAGAGAAAUCGUUAAGCAUCCCACCUGGGGAGUACGCCGGCAACGGUGAAACUCAAAGGAAUUGACGGGGGCCCGCACAAGCGGAGGAACAUGUGGUUUAAUUCGAUGAUACGCGAGGAACCUUACCCGGGCUUGAACUGCAGCGGAAGGAUACAGAGAUGUUGACGUCCUUCGGGACCGCUGUGGAGGUGCUGCAUGGUUGUCGUCAGCUCGUGCCGUGAGGUGUCGGCUUAAGUGCCAUAACGAGCGCAACCCCUUUCAUUAGUUGCCAUCACUUCGGGUGGGCACUCUGGUGAUACUGCCACCGUAAGGUGUGAGGAAGGUGGGGAUGACGUCAAAUCAGCACGGCCCUUACGUCCGGGGCUACACACGUGUUACAAUGGGUGAUACAGAUGGCCGGUGCAUGGCAAUGUGCAUCAAAUCUUGAAAGUCAUCCUCAGUUCGGAUUGGGGUCUGCAACCCGACCCCAUGAAGCUGGAUUCGCU